CUCCGCGCCGACAACAUGGAGGCUGUGAAAACCUUCAACAGCGAGGAUUGUGCCUCUACUCCUGCUUGUACAGACUGCUUUUCCAGCAGCAUGGACACAAGAAGCAUAUUGUAUUCCCUGAAUGACUACAAACCACCCAUUUCUAAAGCAAAAAUGACCCAAAUUACUAAGGCAGCCAUCAAAGCUAUUAAGUUCUAUAAACAUGUGGUACAGAGCGUUGAGAAAUUCAUUCAGAAAUGUAAACCAGAAUACAAGGUACCUGGACUUUAUGUUAUUGACUCCAUUGUACGACAAUCUCGACAUCAGUUUGGUCAAGAAAAGGAUGUGUUUGCACCCAGAUUUAGUAAUAACAUCAUUAGCACUUUCCAGAAUUUAUAUCGUUGCCCUGGGGAUGACAAGAGUAAAAUAGUGAGAGUACUAAAUCUAUGGCAGAAGAAUAAUGUGUUUAAGAGUGAGAUUAUUCAGCCUCUUUUGGAUAUGGCAGCAGGGAUACCUCCCCCAGUUGUUACACCUGUUUUGGCCAGUACUACUGCAGCUAUGAGCAAUACCCCAGGAACUCCUGUUACACCUGUUACUCCAGCCAAUGUGGUCCAGGGUUUACCGGAUCCAUGGGUAUCUCAGAUAACAAACACAGAUACACUUGCAGCAGUAGCUCAAAUCCUACAAAGUCCUCAAGGCCAACAGCUUCAGCAGUUGAUACAGACUUUACAACUACAACAGCAAAAGCCUCAGCCUUCUAUUCUUCAGGCCCUGGAUGCUGGUCUUGUUGUGCAGUUGCAGGCUCUCACAGCACAGCUUACUGCUGCAGCUGCAGCGGCCAACACCCUGAACCCCUUAGAACAGGGAGUGGCUUUCAACAAGAAGUUGAUGGAUAGGUUUGAUUUUGGGGAAGAUUCUGAGCAUAGCGAAGAACCUAAAAAGGAAAUUUCAGCUUCUCAACUUUCUCAUGUUUCAGAAUCUGUGAACAAUUCCAUUUUUCAUCAGAUAGCAGAACAACUACAACAGCAAAACCUUGAACAUCUCAGACAGCAACUCCUAGAACAGCAACAGCCUCAAAAGGCAACCCCUCAGGAUAGUCAAGAGGGAACAUUUGGAUCAGAGCAUUCCGCAUCACCAUCACAAGGGAGCAGUCAACAGCAUUUCCUUGAACCUGAAGCAAAUUUGGAUGAUUCUAUAGAUAUUCAACAACAGGAUAUGGAUAUAGAUGAAGGACAAGAUGGAGUAGAAGAGGAGAUCUUUGAACAGGAAGCAAAGAAAGUGGCUGUUCGCUCAAGAUCAAGAACACAUUCACGAUCUCGUUCAAGAUCACCAAGAAAACGAAGGUCUCGGUCACGAUCUGGUUCUCGAAAGCGUAAACACAGAAAGCGAUCACGCUCACGCUCAAGAGAAAGAAAGAGGAAAUCAUCACGUUCAUACUCAAGUGAAAGGAGAGCAAGAGAAAGGGAGAAAGAACGACAGAAGAAGGGAUUACCUCCAAUUAGAUCUAAAACAUUAAGUGUAUGUAGUACUACUUUGUGGGUUGGUCAGGUGGAUAAGAAGGCAACUCAGCAAGAUUUAACCAAUCUGUUUGAAGAGUUUGGACAAAUUGAAUCCAUUAAUAUGAUUCCUCCCAGGGGCUGUGCUUACGUCUGCAUGGUUCAUCGACAAGAUGCUUUUCGGGCUCUUCAGAAACUUAGUUCCGGAUCAUAUAAAAUUGGGUCCAAGGUCAUUAAGAUUGCUUGGGCUUUAAACAAAGGUGUAAAAACAGAAUAUAAACAAUUCUGGGAUGUGGAUCUUGGAGUUACAUAUAUACCGUGGGAAAAAGUUAAAGUGGAUGAUUUGGAAGGUUUUGCAGAAGGAGGCAUGAUUGACCAGGAAACUGUAAAUACUGAGUGGGAAACUGUGAAAAGCUCGGAACCUGUUAAAGAGACAGUCCAGACAACUCAGAGCCCAACUCCGGUUGAAAAGGAGACAGUGGUCACAACCCAGGCAGAGGUUUUUCCUCCACCUGUUGCCAUGUUACAGAUUCCAGUAGCGCCAGCUGUGCCUGCAGUUAGUUUAGUCCCACCAGCAUUUCCUGUCUCCAUGCCAGUUCCUCCUCCUGGAUUCAGUCCAAUCCCUCCACCUCCUUUUCUGAGAGCAAGUUUUAACCCUUCACAACCACCUCCUGGUUUCAUGCCACCUCCAGUUCCACCACCUGUUGUACCACCACCUACUAUUCCACCAGUAGUACCAACAUCUUUAGUGCAGCCACCAUUAUCCAUGACUCCAGAAACUGUGAAAGAUGUUGGAUUUGGUAGUCUUGUUUUACCGGGUGGUUCUGUUGCCAGCAAUCUUGCUACUCCCACUCUGCCAGCUGGAAAUGUUUUUAAUCCUCCAACUAAACAAGCAGAGCCUGAAGAAAAAGUACCUCAUCUUAUAGAGCACCAGAUUUCAUCUGGUGAAAACACAAGAUCAGUGAUUCCAAAUGAUAUUCCAAGUAGCUCUGCAAUUUUAGGAGGACAGCCGCCAAAUGUGACAAGCAAUUCUGGAAUUCUGGGAGUCCAAAGACCAAAUGUAUCGAGUAAUUCUGAAAUUAUUGGAGUCCGGCCAUCUAAUGUUUCCAAUAGUUCUGGGAUUAUUGGACCCCAGCCACCAAAUAUUCUGAAUAACUCUGGAAUUUUGGGACUACAGCCACCAACUGUGUCAAGUAGUUCUGGACUUUUGGGAGUGCUACCCCCAAAUAUCCCUAAUAAUUCCGGACUUAUAGGAGUACAGCCACCGAAUGUUCCAAAUGCUGCUGGACUUUUGGGAACACAACCACCAGCUGGGCCUCAAAACUUACCCCCUUUAAAUCUCUCUAGUCAAAGGAUGCCCGCAAUGCCAAUGUUAGACAUUCGUCCAGGACUAAUACCACAGACACCUGGACCAAGAUUCCCUUUAAUGCAGCCUGGAAUUCCACCCCAACGGGGAAUCCCUCCCCCAUCAGUACUUGAUUCAGCUCUUCAUCCACCACCACCUCGUGGUCCUUUUCCUCCAGGAGAUAUUUUUAGUCAGCCAGAAAGACCUUUUCUAGUCCCUGGAAGACAAAAUGUAGACAAUGUUCCUAAUCCAGAGAAAAGGAUACCACUUGGAAAUGAUAACAUUCAACAGGAAGGAGAUAGAGAUUACCGGUUUCCUCCCAUUGAAGCCAGGGAAAGCAUUAGUAGACCUCCCCCGGUGGAUGUUAGGGAUGUGGUUGGACGGCCUAUAGAUCCAAGAGAAGGUCCUGGAAGGCCUCCAUUAGAUGGUAGGGAUCAUUUUGGAAGACCUCCUGUCGAUAUUAGAGAGAAUCUUGUGAGGCCAGGCAUAGAUCAUCUUGGUCGAAGAGACCAUUUUGGCUUUAAUCCAGAGAAGCCCUGGGGGCAUAGAGAUUUUGAUGAGAGAGAACAUCGGGUUCUACCUGUCUAUGGUGGUCCAAAAGGCUUACAUGAAGAAAGAGGUAGAUUUCGAUCUGGAAACUAUCGAUUUGAUCCUAGAAGUGGUCCUUGGAACAGAGGAUUUGGACAAGAAGUUCACAGAGAUUUUGAUGACCGCAGAAGACCCUGGGAGAGGCAAAGGGAUAGGGAUGACAGAGAUUUUGAUUUCUGCAGAGAAAUUAAUGGAAACCGUCUUGGACGAGAUAGAAUUCAAAACACCUGGGUCCCCCCUCCUCAUGCUCGGGUUUUUGAUUUUUUUGAAGGGGCCACUUCUCAACGAAAAGGUGAUAACGUGCCUCAGGUUAAUGGUGAAAAUACUGAAAGACAUGCCCAACCACCACCUUUACCAGUGCAGAAUGAUCCUGAACUUUAUGAAAAACUGACAUCUUCAAGUGAAAUAAACAAGGAGAAGAGUGACACAGUUGCUGAUAUAGAAAGUGAACCAGUGGUAGAAAGCACAGAAACUGAGGGGACAUAAUCAUCACUCAGUAGAUAAUUGAGUGGCCAGGCACUGUGUUGGGUGCUAGAGAAAUUAAAUGCCGUCAUCCAUUUAGAAGCUCCGAGCAUAAUAGUAACAGAAGGCAGGAAAGUAUGGAAACGAAAUAUGUACCCAGUGUGUUGCAUGUGACUCCAUGGGAUCCAGGUCUGGCGGCUAAGAGGAGGUCCUCUGAAAGGCUUCAUAAGGAAGGAAUGGCCCAGAGAGAGAAUGCUGAGAAGUAAAGAGAAAGGAGGAGGGUAGUCUGGUUGUUGGGGCGGAGUGGAGAAGAGAAGGAUCCUGACUCCAUAAUGGCCAGAGUGUGUGGCCAGUAGGAUCGCUGACAUCCGGAUUCAUCAGGAAGUAUGGCCUUGGUGCCUUUUACCACGCAGAUGCUGAUUUGCUCCGGACAAUAACCCUAUCCUCUUCACACCCUGGCCAAUCUUAAUCCAGACUUCGGGAAAUGACUGUGACUUGAGAGGCUAUAGCUAUGAUAGUCAAGAUGAGCUGAUUUUCAUUGUCGUUUCCUCUUGAGUAGCUUUUAAAAUGGCAUUUGAAGGAUCAACGCAUUAGCGAAAUGCUUAGGAUAAUCCGAAGUAACAGACGGCAAGAUGAUGAAUGAAGUUCUGGCAGCUUCCUGUGUCCCAGGCCUUGUAGAAAUAAAUGAGACGUGCUUCAAAGUUCUAAUGUGCAUCACAUCGGAUCUUGUUUAAGGAAGCAUUAAAAGGAACCCGCCGUUACCUAUUGAGAAGGCUCUGUGCUCUCAGGCAUUGUUUCUGAUUGAAUCCAGAGGUUGCAAGCAUGCCUCCCUGUAUUACCUGUUGGAGCAGGUUUAAUUUUAUAAAUUUUAAAACAAACUCUAUGAGUUUCCAGUUCAUAAUUGUUCUUUUUGAGGAUGCACUCAGAUGAACAGUAUCGCAUCUGUAAGAGAUACGCUCUUCCACAGACCCGAAUUGAUUGGAAUAUAAAUGGCAACAACCUCCAUCUGUAGCAUCAUCCAGUACCCGUGAUGGAAAGGGCAGAUUGCGAGGAAACCCUUCCGAGGGGGAAAAAGUCACACUGUGUUGGAACUACAGAUUAAUAGAACCAUAGCGUUAGUCAACCACGGCUUUUUUCUUGAACACAACAUGCAUAGACUGUAGUUCUUGACUGGUGACUUUAAUCCAUUAUGAAUCAUCUCCUUGGACCUCUCAAAAAUUGAAAGUCUUGAGCUUCCAUUGAAAAAGCAAUGCAGUUUUGAGAAGAUCCAGGGUUCAAUGUAGUCUUCGGGUUCAUUCCAGCCUUCAGUGUCCAGUUAUUACAAACAGCAGGUACCCAGGUGGUAGAUGAGAACCUAGUGGGAGAGGAAGGAAAGAAACGACAAUGAACGGGCAUAUUACAUUGUAUUAUACACAUACUUUAUAAGUACAUUUCUUAUGAGCUUCUUAUUCAGGCAGAGAUUAUAAAAGUUUGCUGCAAGUAUCUAGACCAGGAUUUGUGUUUUGGAAAUUAUCAGUGUUCACAAUACCUGCAGGGAAAACCAAAAACAAUGACAAAAACUCAAAUGAGAGCACUCUUUACACCUAAAAGAAUAUUUUUUAUCAUUCUUUUGUUUUGGCUCUGUCACAAAUUAAAGUGCUUGGCAUGUGGUAGUCUGUGGUCUCUUGAAAUUGAAUCAAUGAGAACCUGACACUUUCACAGGAUGCUGUCACUUUGGACAUUCAUAAUAAAAAUUGAAACUGA
This is an RNA transcript of Canis lupus familiaris (dog), 5613 nucleotides long. It is a transcript of the gene named SR-related CTD associated factor 8, with no coding region annotated. NCBI's taxonomy places the organism in Eukaryota, Metazoa, Chordata, Mammalia, Carnivora, Canidae. The record is from RefSeq and is a predicted model, not a curated record. The transcript is spliced from 25 exons.